GACGAACGCUGGCGGCGUGCUUAACACAUGCAAGUCGAACGGAAAGGCCCUGCUUUUGUGGGGUGCUCGAGUGGCGAACGGGUGAGUAACACGUGAGUAACCUGCCCUUGACUUUGGGAUAACUUCAGGAAACUGGGGAUAAUACCGGAUAGGAGCUCCUGCUGCAUGGUGGGGGUUGGAAAGUUUCGGCGGUUGGGGAUGGACUCGCGGCUUAUCAGCUUGUUGGUGGGGUAGUGGCUUACCAAGGCUAUGACGGCUAGCCGGCCUGAGAGGGUGACCGGCCACACGGGAACUGGGACGCGGCCCGGACUCCUACGGGAGGCAGCAGAAGGGACUCGUCCGCAAGGGGCGAAAGCCUGACGGAGCACCGCCGCGUGGGUGACGAAGGUCGUCGGAUCGUAAAAGUCUGUGACGAGGGGGGAAAAAAUGUCUAAGUAACUAUGCACGUCUUGACGGUACCUAAUCAGAAAGCAACGGCUAACUACGUG
This 488-nucleotide ribosomal RNA is filed under the name uncultured bacterium. RNAcentral describes it as "partial 16S ribosomal RNA". It matches the Rfam family "Bacterial small subunit ribosomal RNA", at positions 28 to 507 of the family's 1533-position model. The record is from RNAcentral.